AGAGUUUGAUCAUGGCUCAGGACGAACGCUGGCGGCACGCCUAACACAUGCAAGUCGAGCGCGAAAGCCGCUUCGGUGGCGAGUAGAGCGGCGCACGGGUGAGUAACGCGUGGCCAACCUGCCCUCGGGACCGGGACAACCCUUCGAAAGGGGGGCUAAUACCGGAUGAGACCCAGAUCGUGGGAUCGGGGUUGAAAGCUCCGGCGCCCGGGGAGGGGGCCGCGUCCCAUCAGCUAGCCGGUGAGGUAAUGGCUCACCGGGGCAACGACGGGUAGCGGGUCUGAGAGGACGGUCCGCCACACUGGCACUGAGACACGGGCCAGACUCCUGCGGGAGGCAGCAGUGGGGAAUCUUGCGCAAUGGGCGCAAGCCUGACGCAGCGAUGCCGCGUGGGUGAAGAAGGCCUUCGGGUCGUAAAGCCCUUUUGGUGGGGAGGAUGAUGACGUCACCCACCGAAUAAGCGCCGGCUAACUACGUGCCAGCAGCCGCGGUAAUACGUAGGGCGCGAGCGUUGUCCGGAAUCACUGGGCGUAAAGGGCGCGCAGGUGGGUUCGCAAGCGGGGGGUGAAAGGCCGGGGCUCAACCCCGGGACUGCUUCCCGAACUGCGGAUCUAGAGGGGGUCAGGGGCCAGCGGAAUUCCGGGUGGAGAG
Molecule: ribosomal RNA, 651 nt
Filed under: uncultured bacterium
Lineage: Bacteria
Description: bacterial SSU rRNA
Rfam family: Bacterial small subunit ribosomal RNA
Source: RNAcentral